UUGAAUUUAGUAAAUUUUUUUUAGAAGCUCAGCUUAAAAGCACAUUUAUUUCAAAAAUUUCACAAUAAUUCAAUGAAAAAGAACUGAGAAAUGCCUUUUCAAAUGUGGUUGAUCUAAACUGCCAAGGCAGUCGACUCUACGUACUUGAAAUUCUAUCAAAAUUUUGUCCUUACUCCAAAUAUAGAAAUCCUUAUCUUAUUAAAAAGCUAACACUAAAAAUUACAACCAAAAAAAGAAUUCAUAUCAAAAUUCAAAAAAUUGAAUAAUUGAUUGAG
Molecule: long non-coding RNA, 275 nt
Filed under: Physcomitrium patens
Lineage: Eukaryota; Viridiplantae; Streptophyta; Bryopsida; Funariales; Funariaceae
Description: long non-coding RNA (PPAT_LNC005410)
Source: RNAcentral